This 48-nucleotide ribosomal RNA is filed under the name Syzygiella geminifolia. Its description in RNAcentral is "partial 26S ribosomal RNA". Lineage: Eukaryota; Viridiplantae; Streptophyta; Jungermanniopsida; Jungermanniales; Adelanthaceae. The record is from RNAcentral. RNAcentral also lists the same sequence under 1 other name.
UGGACCUCAGAUCAGGCAAGAUUACCCGCUGAGUUUAAGCAUAUCACU